GCUAUUUUGGCAGAUUAGUGCGUUGGAUUUAGAAUCUUAUUAUGUGGAUUUACUACAGAUAGUA
Molecule: transfer RNA, 64 nt
Filed under: Ischnoptera deropeltiformis
Lineage: Eukaryota; Metazoa; Arthropoda; Insecta; Blattodea; Blattellidae
Description: tRNA-Leu
Source: RNAcentral